AAAAAAAAAAAAAAAAACCUGAUCUAAUGCUUCAUAGAUCACCUGUGAUAUGGUGAACUCCCUCAACUUUAUGGAUGAGAGAGAAAUUAUGAAGGCCUCUCUAGACUUCUGAUGAUGAGAUAUGAGAUUUGAUUGAACAACAUGUCAAUUUCUUUAUAAUUGAGAAUUUUUUGGGACUUAACCCUGUGUUCUGCUAUACUCAAGGAUGCCAAAGUCAAAUAUGAUAAAUUUGUGAGGACCUCAGGUACCUUUGAAGUUGGAAUUAUUGAGUGGUACUAGCAUUUGCAAAAGAGAGUGAUCAAUUGUAUAGCAUUUCUUCUUGUGCUUUCCAAGUUCAGAUUUUGUAUGCUCCUGAUGGAUUUAUUUAUAUAUCUGCAACAGAUCCAAGUUUUCUAGUGGCAUUUUUUUAAUAGAAAAGUUUCUAAUGAUUUGCAUGGUUAAUUCCUAUUACAAUGCUUCAUCUACUUGCUAUUUGUCCAUGGCAGGUUGCCUGUACAUUCUCUCAA
Molecule: unclassified non-coding RNA, 506 nt
Filed under: Hevea brasiliensis (rubber tree)
Lineage: Eukaryota; Viridiplantae; Streptophyta; Magnoliopsida; Malpighiales; Euphorbiaceae
Source: RNAcentral